Gallus gallus (chicken) is the source of this 3058-nucleotide long non-coding RNA. RefSeq lists it as uncharacterized. The record is from RefSeq and is a predicted model, not a curated record. The transcript is spliced from 7 exons. NCBI's taxonomy places the organism in Eukaryota, Metazoa, Chordata, Aves, Galliformes, Phasianidae.
CCUUCCGCCAGCGCCGCCGCGCUUCCGGUCCCUCUUCCGGUCUGGGCGGAGAGCGGCGACCCUCGUCCCGCCCCGCCGCCAUCUUUCCGUGGCGGCGAGGAGGUGGAGCUUUGCUGCCGCCAUCUUGGAUGCGUCCACACGUGUGUCGCACAUCACGGCCCAUCGUAUGUCGCACGGCGGGCGCCAUAUUGGUGGUGGCUGAUGAGCGGCAGCGGUCUGCUCCUCCCUCCUCAUACGGUACAGGGACCUAAAUUGUGUAGUUCCAAAGAGACGGAACAGAGGAAAACCUGGAACAUUCGGUGCAGAGAGCUGGCAUGACAACAGCAAGCAAAAACGUGUAGUAGUGCAUGUGAGGUGGUGCAGAUUAAAACAGCCCACAGGCCACACAGUGCCAGUGCCUGCUGAGAGGAAAAGAAGGAAUCCAAGCCAUCUGAUUUUCAGGCCCAUAUUUCAUUACCUCCUGUAAGGGAACAGAAAAACUAAGCAUAAGAAGACCUCACUGCGAAGCUUCUACCUUCUCCUCCACAAAUGAAGAAGAAAAUGACUCACCUCAUCCUGCUUGGCAGCAUCUGCAAUAUAAACAGAAUCACAAAAGUUGAAGUAAAAAACAUAGUUGGUGAAUAUUCAUUUUGCACCUGCGCUGACCUCAUUAGCACCAGCCCUUCCAGCAACACCACCUCUCUUGCUUUCUUGAAACUGUUCUGCAGGGUUGGGGUACAGAGAAGACCAACUCCUCUUGGAGGUACACAAUGAAAGGAAGAGAGAGAAUACUGCAAAUUGCAGCAAGAGAUUCGAAUGGAGCCAAAGGAUGAUGCCAACUAUGCUUCUGCAGCAGGUCAUUAGUUAAGUGCCUGCUUUAUUCUGCAUGGGAGGAUGCUAUCUGGCUGCAUUCCAGAAGGGAACCCUAAAAGGCAGAAGUUGCUGGUUUUCUCUGAAGACUUUUGGCUAAUACAAGAAGUGCUCUGUAGACGAGACGGUUUCUUUAUGGGAUUGCGUAAUACAGCCCUGCUGAUAUCAAGGAAUCACCACAAGAGGGAUCAAUCUGUACUCCUAUCACUCUGGUCUAAAGGGAGCAAUUAUUGAGAGACAGAAGAUCUCUGAGUUACAGCAGACAUAAGUGGACUACAACAGGGGCACGCAGUCUUCUAGAUGCCAUCUUGUAGCUCUGCAGUGCCCACUGGUCCUUCCAGACACACCACCUAACAAAAUGUUUUGGAAAUAUUCUAUUAAAAGAACAUUAUCUUGUCUAUUUGCUAUGGCUUCAUGUUGGAAUUGAAGCAGUAGUCAGGUUGGCUGACUUUACCUACACUUCUGUGCAGCUGCAGUUCUCAAAUUUGACUGCUACUGCUCAGGUAUACUACCACUGUCAGAGGCUCCCCAGCCAUGUUUAGUGCUGUCAGAGACUUUCUACAUACAAGAAGGGGCAAAAAUUUGUCUCUCACCGUGUCAACACCACAACAGGCACCACAGAAAACCAGAGAUCCAGUGAGCCAUGAAACAUUUACACCAGGACAUUGCACUAGCAAAAUGACAGCUUCAAGACUUUACCACAGAGAAGAAACACUGAGAAAUCCCUGUCAAAUGCUCGAAACAUGCAACUCCAGGAAGCUUGGAGGCUUGGCAAACUGCUGAUGGAUUUUUGAAGUCAAUCUCUUAGACAAUCUCUUAGAGUUCAAACACAAAGAUAAAGAAACAUAUUCUCAAGACUUUGACAAAUAGAUUUCUUACCAUUCUCUCUAAGUUUCCACUGUGCUUCCAGAAGGGCAGCAAAGGAAAGUAAUGAAAGUAAGGCAAAUAGCAGGUGAGACAUCUGUAGGUAAAAAUAUAUAUUACUUAACUUCAUUUAGGAUUGUUGAGUGUGUACUGAAAUUGAGCUCAGUGCUGGAUAAGAGGACAGAUUCCGUUCCAGUGAACUAAGAAACAUCCUCCCAUUCUAAUAAUUCUUAGACUACAUCAAAAUUGCAUAGAAGGUAUGCACUACAGUUCGAGGCAAGAUGUUGAUCUGUUAGUUAUUCAUACCACAAACCAGUAUGAGAGAAGAAAUCAUGGCACUUGGAGGCAACUGUGUGCACAGCUCUUGACCUUUAUCUGGUCAAGUGAACCAGAUAAAGAACUAGACCUGGUACUAGGUCUAAUAUCUGACCUUUAUCUGGUCGAGGGCUCAGAAGCAUUCUCAGAUGCCUGAGUCAAAUAUUCCUUGAUCAAGAGAAGCUCUACUGGUGCUCGUGAGGCUUCUUACAGAAUAAGGCACUGAACCAAACGAUCGAUGAACAUAAAUUCCAGUUCUACAAAGCUUUUAAAUAUGUAUCGGUAGUUCUAUAUAAAAAGAGCAUUGUGACUAAAACAAAGCAUCCAGUGAAGUAUUUUUCUAGGCUGCAGUGUUCACCAUCUCUGUGAGAUCAAGUGAUAAUAGUGAUACUGCAUUGUAGAGAUGGCUUCACAACUGACUAACCGGUACUAGGUCUAGUAUCCAUCUCAGGCUGCACAACCUCAGUUAAUUUGCAAGCAAUUUCUGGAAAAAUCUCUACUGAUAUCAGUGCCACAGCUGUAUUUCAGAAAUGGCUGGAUAGGUAUAUCAUUGUUGCUGUGUUGACUUGAGAAGUGUAAAUAUAGCUCACUUGACUACAUAGAUAUAGAUGUAUAUAAAAAGAAUUUUUCAUGACAUCGAAAACAUGAAAACGUGUGCAUAUUCAAUAUGUAGUAGAUAUACUUACUAUAUAUAUAUAUUAUAUAAUAUUUAUUCUCUGAAUCUCAUGUAAAAUACUUUAUCCUGAAUUCAAAAUACAGUGAUAUGGCUUUGUUAGAAGGCAAACACUCUUAGCUCCCGAUUUCUACUGUAGACAGGAUUAUCUGUAAUUUGUGAAUGAAAACUACGUUUUGUCUCUUUCUCAAAGAUACUCAUUUCUUUUACAGCCACGUGGCAUUCAUCACUGUGCUUCAUAAAGCUGAUACCUGAAGUAUUGAUUGAAAACUUGAAGAGAGGAGAAGGGAUACAAAGAGCUUUCUUUUCAGUAUCACCAUCAAAAUUUAGAGCUUUCAAAUAAAAAAGUUUUUCCUA